UGGGGAAUAUUGCACAAUGGGCGCAAGCCUGAUGCAGCCAUGCCGCGUGUGUGAAGAAGGCCUUCGGGUUGUAAAGCACUUUCAGCGAGGAGGAAGGUGGUGGACUUAAUACGUUCAUCAAUUGACGUUACUCGCAGAAGAAGCACCGGCUAACUCCGUGCCAGCAGCCGCGGUAAUACGGAGGGUGCAAGCGUUAAUCGGAAUUACUGGGCGUAAAGCGCACGCAGGCGGUUUGUUAAGUCAGAUGUGAAAUCCCCGGGCUCAACCUGGGAACUGCAUUUGAAACUGGCAAGCUAGAGUCUCGUAGAGGGGGUAGAAUUCCAGGUGUAGCGGUGAAUGCGUAGAGAUCUGGAGGAAUACCGGUGGCGAAGGCGGCCCCCUGGA
Molecule: ribosomal RNA, 384 nt
Filed under: uncultured bacterium
Lineage: Bacteria
Description: partial 16S ribosomal RNA
Rfam family: Bacterial small subunit ribosomal RNA
Source: RNAcentral